Molecule: ribosomal RNA, 253 nt
Filed under: uncultured bacterium
Lineage: Bacteria
Description: partial 16S ribosomal RNA
Rfam family: Bacterial small subunit ribosomal RNA
Source: RNAcentral
UACAGAGGGUGCGAGCGUUAAUCGGAAUUACUGGGCGUAAAGCGCGUGUAGGCGGCCCUGCAAGUCGGAUGUGAAAUCCCACGGCUCAACCGUGGAAGUGCAUUCGAAACUGCAGGGCUAGAGUCCUGGAGAGGAAGGUGGAAUGCUUGGUGUAGAGGUGAAAUUCGUAGAUAUCAAGCGGAACACCGGUGGCGAAGGCGGCCUUCUGGACAGUGACUGACGCUGAGACGCGAAAGCGUGGGGAGCAAACAGG